This 467-nucleotide ribosomal RNA is filed under the name uncultured bacterium. RNAcentral's name for it is "bacterial SSU rRNA". It matches the Rfam family "Bacterial small subunit ribosomal RNA", at positions 34 to 518 of the family's 1533-position model. The record is from RNAcentral.
CGCUGGCGGCGUGCCUAACACAUGCAAGUCGAGCGAGGAGAUUCCUCGGGAUGAUCCUAGCGGCGGACGGGUGAGUAACACGUGGGCAACCUGCCUCAUAGAGAGGAAUAGCCUUCCGAAAGGGAGAUUAAUACCUCAUAACAUUGCAGUUUCGCAUGGAACAGCAAUUAAAGGAGUAAUCCGCUAUGAGAUGGGCCCGCGGCGCAUUAGCUAGUUGGUGAGGUAACGACUCACCAAGGCGACGAUGCGUAGCCGACCUGAGAGGGUGAUCGGCCACAUUGGGACUGAGACACGGCCCAGACUCCUACGGGAGGCAGCAGUGGGGAAUAUUGCACAAUGGGGGAAACCCUGAUGCAAGCAACGCCGCGUGAGUGAUGACGGCCUUCGGGUUGUAAAGCUCUGUCUUCAGGGACGAUAAUGACGGUACCUGAGGAGGAAGCCACGGCUAACUACGUGCCAGCCGCAGC